AUGAGAUCAGCCGAAAAAAUCCAACCGACUAUCUGUCGCGUAGCCUCCGAUUUUAACCCAUGGGUAGAGACGGUGGUACGCGCUUGCUGUAGAACCUUCCAGUCAUGUGGUUCCUGUUUCCCCUGGCCAUUCUGCUGUAUCAUGGGGAAUGCCACUGCCGCGGGACCCUCGGCCCCUCCGACAGGUUUCCGUUGUCCCUCUGUGAUGGCAUCUUUAAUGAUGCCGUUCCAACGUGUGGGGCUGCGUGGCGCACAAGGAUUCAAUAAACAUGGAGGAGUGUCUUUCCUCCUUUCUUCUUCUUUCAGCUCCAACUUUUCCAGGCGUUUCAACACUGUUUGCAAAAUCUUUGCAGUGGCGUCUGGGGACAGCGGCGGCUUCCUCCCGGCGACCGGAGUGGUGUCACCAGAAGAUUCGCUGGAGGAGGGCAGCGGGGGAUACAGUGAUGGUGGCGCGGCGGCCGACGGGAGAGGAGGAGCCGAGGGGGGGGGUCGACACCCUUCCCCGCCCAAGUCUCCGAGAUCAGCGGGAGGCGCGGUUUCCGCCCCUUUCGGGGCCUCCUCCGGGCACCCUUCCGCUUUCGCCUCAGAGCUCCUAUCAUCGGCCUCUCUCGUGACAACUUCUGCCUUUUCAGGCGCCUGCGCAGGCUCCGGCAACGCGGUCUUCUCCUUGCUCAGGGGCGUGAGGCCCCCUUUCACGCGCAGCUCAUUAACGCUUUUGCAGAUAGUCCCAGUCACACCCUUCACCGCAGGCAGUCCCAAGAACCGUGAGCCAAGCCCAGUUUUCUUGCGGGGCUUAUCGGUAGGGGCCCCCGGUCCCAGCAUUUGCGCGGCGGCACAGGCCACUUCCCUUUCAGCCUUCAUUGCUGUUAAAGUCUCUAGCACAGUGUUCCAAAGCGCACGAACGGCUUUUAUCUCCUUUUCCUCCUUUUCGUCCCCUUCAAUUAACUUUUGCCACAUGGUCCCCCCAAAGUCUCGCCAUUCCGAUAAGGAAAACAGUAAAUGGGUGUCGGAAAAGUGA
RNAcentral lists this long non-coding RNA (1017 nucleotides) under Apteryx haastii (Great spotted kiwi). RNAcentral's name for it is "lncRNA (ENSAHAG00000003568.1)". The record is from RNAcentral. Lineage: Eukaryota; Metazoa; Chordata; Aves; Apterygiformes; Apterygidae.